RNAcentral lists this RNase P RNA (227 nucleotides) under Reyranella sp. RNAcentral describes it as "partial RNase P RNA component class A". It matches the Rfam family "Bacterial RNase P class A", at positions 157 to 367 of the family's 367-position model. Rfam says of the family: Ribonuclease P (RNase P) is a ubiquitous endoribonuclease, found in archaea, bacteria and eukarya as well as chloroplasts and mitochondria. Lineage: Bacteria; Pseudomonadati; Pseudomonadota; Alphaproteobacteria; Hyphomicrobiales; Reyranellaceae. The record is from RNAcentral.
AAACGGUGGGGUAAGAGCCCACCGCGCGACCGGCAACGGAAGCGGCACGGCAAACCCCACCGGGAGCAAGACCAAAUAGGGGCGGCACGCCGGGCAACCGGCAGCGGUGUUUCCGCGUCGCCGCCCGGGUCGGUCGCGCGAGGCGUUCGGUAACGGGCGUCCCAGAGGAAUGGCCAUCCAUCGCCUUCGGGCGAGGACAGAACCCGGCUUACAGGCCGUCUGACCCU